This 500-nucleotide ribosomal RNA is filed under the name uncultured bacterium. Its description in RNAcentral is "partial 16S ribosomal RNA". It matches the Rfam family "Bacterial small subunit ribosomal RNA", at positions 28 to 507 of the family's 1533-position model. The record is from RNAcentral.
GACGAACGCUGGCGGCGUGCUUAACACAUGCAAGUCGAACGGGUCUGCCCUGUUUUUUGCGGGGUGGGUCAGUGGCGAACGGGUGAGUAACACGUGAGUAACCUGCCCCUCACUUCUGGAUAACCGCUUGAAAGGGUGGCUAAUACGGGGUGUUCUGGCUGUGCCGCAUGGUGUGGCUGGGAAAGAUUCACUUUUGUGGUGUUUUGGUGGGGGAUGGGCUCGCGGCCUAUCAGCUUGUUGGUGGGGUGAUGGCCUGCCAAGGCUUUGACGGGUAGCCGGCCUGAGAGGGUGGGCGGUCACACUGGGACUGAGAUACGGCCCAGACUCCUGCGGGAGGCAGCAGUGGGGGGUAUUGCACAAUGGGCGGAAGCCUGAUGCAGCGACGUCGCGUGAGGGAUGGAGGCCUUCGGGUUGUGAACCUCUUUCGCCGGUGAAGAAGGUCCUGCUCUUUGUGGUGGGGUUGACGGUAGCCGGGUUAUGAAGCGCCAGCUAACUACGUG